CGUAGGUGCGAGCGUUGUCCGGAAUUACUGGGCGUAAAGGGCUCGUAGGUGGUUUGUCGCGUCGUCUGUGAAAUUCCGGGGCUUAACUCCGGGCGUGCAGGCGAUACGGGCAUAACUUGAGUACUGUAGGGGUAACUGGAAUUCCUGGUGUAGCGGUGAAAUGCGCAGAUAUCAGGAGGAACACCGAUGGCGAAGGCAGGUUACUGGGCAGUUACUGACGCUGAGGAGCGAAAGCAUGGGUAGCGAACAGGAUU
RNAcentral lists this ribosomal RNA (254 nucleotides) under uncultured bacterium. RNAcentral's name for it is "partial 16S ribosomal RNA". It matches the Rfam family "Bacterial small subunit ribosomal RNA", at positions 526 to 779 of the family's 1533-position model. The record is from RNAcentral.